UGGGGAAUAUUGCACAAUGGGCGAAAGCCUGAUGCAGCGACGCCGCGUGGAGGAUGAAGGUUUUCGGAUUGUAAACUCCUGUUAAGUGGGAAGAAAGACGGAUACCUAAUACGUAUCUGGGAUGACGGUACCACUAGAGAAAGCACCGGCAAACUUCGUGCCAGCAGCCGCGGUAAUACGAAGGGUGCGAGCGUUAUUCGGAGUUACUGGGCGUAAAGAGCGCGUAGGCGGUUUUUUAAGUCAUUCGUUAAAUCCCCCGGCUUAACCGGGGAAACGCGAGUGAUACUGGAAGACUAGAGUAUAAGAGAGAGAAGUGGAAUUCUCGGAGUAGCGGUAAAAUGCGUAGAUCUCGAGAGGAACACCAGAGGCGAAGGCGGCUUCUUGGCUUAUUACUGACGCUAAAGUGCGAAAGCGUGGGGAGCAAACAGG
This 429-nucleotide ribosomal RNA is filed under the name uncultured bacterium. RNAcentral's name for it is "bacterial SSU rRNA". It matches the Rfam family "Bacterial small subunit ribosomal RNA", at positions 355 to 776 of the family's 1533-position model. The record is from RNAcentral.